This 254-nucleotide ribosomal RNA is filed under the name uncultured bacterium. Its description in RNAcentral is "partial 16S ribosomal RNA". It matches the Rfam family "Bacterial small subunit ribosomal RNA", at positions 524 to 776 of the family's 1533-position model. The record is from RNAcentral.
UACAGAGGGUCCGAGCGUUGUCCGGAAUCACUGGGCGUAAAGGGCGCGUAGGUGGUGGCUUAAGCGUGCGGUGAAAGCUCGGAGCUCAACUCCGAGUCGGCCGUGCGAACUGGGCUCACUGGAGCAUAGUAGAGGCAGGUGGAAUUCCGGGUGUAGCGGUGGAAUGCGUAGAGAUCCGGAAGAACACCGGUGGCGAAGGCGGGUCUCUGGGCCGAUACUGACGCUGAGGAGCGAAAGCGUGGGGAGCGAACAGG